Molecule: ribosomal RNA, 497 nt
Filed under: uncultured bacterium
Lineage: Bacteria
Description: partial 16S ribosomal RNA
Rfam family: Bacterial small subunit ribosomal RNA
Source: RNAcentral
GAUGAACGCUGGCGGCGUGCCUAAUACAUGCAAGUCGAGCGAACAGACGAGGAGCUUGCUCCUCUGAUGUUAGCGGCGGACGGGUGAGUAACACGUGGAUAACCUACCUAUAAGACUGGGAUAACUUCGGGAAACCGGAGCUAAUACCGGAUAAUAUAUUGAACCGCAUGGUUCAAUAGUGAAAGACGGUUUUGCUGUCACUUAUAGAUGGAUCCGCGCCGCAUUAGCUAGUUGGUAAGGUAACGGCUUACCAAGGCGGCGCUGCGUAGCCGACCUGAGAGGGUGAUCGGCCACACUGGGACUGAGACACGGUCCAGACUCCUACGGGAGGCAGCAGUAGGGAAGCGUCCGCAAUGGGCGAAAGCCUGACGGAGCAACGCCGCGUGAGUGAUGAAGGUCUUCGGAUCGUAAAACUCUGUUAUUAGGGAAGAACAAAUGUGUAAGUAACUAUGCACGUCUUGACGGUACCUAAUCAGAAAGCCACGGCUAACUACGUG